Molecule: long non-coding RNA, 360 nt
Filed under: Lathyrus oleraceus (garden pea)
Lineage: Eukaryota; Viridiplantae; Streptophyta; Magnoliopsida; Fabales; Fabaceae
Description: Pisum sativum (pea) long non-coding RNA (PSAT_LNC013776)
Source: RNAcentral
CAAAAACAACUUACCUGUGAGCAGAGAGAGUAUUUGUUAACCCCUUUGAGCUUAAACAGUUGAAUCUCGGCUUGAAAUAAAGCGAGAUCUCAAAAAUCUUUUUUUUUACAACCCGGAAAAUCUUGAUUAUUGUUCUUUUGCCGUAAAAAGUUAAGAGCAUUCACUUAGGGUGAGGAAGAAAUAAGUUGGGGAGAACGAAAAAGAAUCGGUAAGUACCACAACUCUUGAAAAAGAAAAGAAAAACCGAGCAAGCAUAGAAAAAUAUAUGUAUAGAAAAUAUAGAAAAGAAACAUCUGUUUUGUAUAUUUGAUGUGAAAGAAAAGAACAAAAAUAGAAAGAAUGAAAAUGAAUGCUUGCUUG